GACGAACGCUGGCGGCGUGCCUAAUACAUGCAAGUAGAACGCUGAAGGAGGAGCUUGCUUCUCUGGAUGAGUUGCGAACGGGUGAGUAACGCGUAGGUAACCUGCCUGGUAGCGGGGGAUAACUAUUGGAAACGAUAGCUAAUACCGCAUAAGAGUAGAUGUCGCAUGACAUUUGCUUAAAAGGUGCAAUUGCAUCACUACCAGAUGGACCUGCGUUGUAUUAGCUAGUUGGUGAGGUAACGGCUCACCAAGGCAACGAUACAUAGCCGAACUGAGAGGGUGAUCGGCCACACUGGGACUGAGACACGGCCCAGACGCCUACGGGAGGCAGCAGUAGGGAAUCGUCGGCAAUGGACGGAAGUCUGACCGAGCAACGCCGCGUGAGUGAAGAAGGUUUUCGGAUCGUAAAGCUCUGUUGUAAGAGAAGAACGAGUGUGAGAGUGGAAAGUUCACACUGUGACGGUAUCUUACCAGAAAGGGACGGCUAACUACGUG
RNAcentral lists this ribosomal RNA (495 nucleotides) under uncultured bacterium. RNAcentral describes it as "partial 16S ribosomal RNA". It matches the Rfam family "Bacterial small subunit ribosomal RNA", at positions 28 to 507 of the family's 1533-position model. The record is from RNAcentral.